This 2015-nucleotide long non-coding RNA is filed under the name Lotus japonicus. RNAcentral describes it as "long non-coding RNA (LJAP_LNC001388)". The record is from RNAcentral. Lineage: Eukaryota; Viridiplantae; Streptophyta; Magnoliopsida; Fabales; Fabaceae.
UGUAUGCGGUAUCGAUUGUGGGACCUUUCCCUACUGCUGUGACCAGCUUGUUGGAUCUUACAAGGCUGUAAGUGUCUUCCUUAAUUUAUGUUACAUUAGAUUUUGAUUCUGUAAAUAGCUUGAGAAGUAUGUGUUAUUGCCUGGUACAUAUGGUUUGUUGAAGUUUGAUGUCAGAGAGGACAAUAUGGAGAGUUAUAUGUGGAUGCUUUUAAUGUAGAUAUCCAGAAUUGCAAGGAUCUAAAUUGGUCUUCAAAUUCUAGCUUUCGUAGCGGAAUUGGAUUUCUGUCGUAUAACAGCAUAUUGAAAUAGUGAUGGACCUAUAAACUAGUUUAUGCGGUAUGAUGUAUAACUUUAUUUACUCUGAUGACUUUUUAUGUGCAUAAUUGAUCUAACACCCACACGCACACAGGAGGGUGGGGUUAAAUGGGUGUGAAUGAUAGGAAGCAUAGAGAUGACUAGAUUAGAGCAUAUAAGAUAAGCUAAGAUCUAGACUACCAAAUACCAAUGAGCAGGAUGAGUUACCAAGUGGGGGGGGGCUUCAAGAGAUUGAUAUAUGAUAGGUAGGUGGGUGGGAAUCAAGAGAAGUGGCAAUAGAAGGUUAUGAUAUACAUGUUAAUGUUAUGAUGAUGCACUGCUGGUUUGCUGUUAAUCUAUCUUUGAUUUUCUUUUUGUUCAUUUUAAAUUACAAUACUGAAUACAUGUAACAUCAAGUACUUCCAUUUUACUUCUCCCUUCCAAACUCUUAGUAAUAGAGGCACUGUGUGCUUUUGGCAGGGAUCUCCAUAAUAACAAGUUGACAGGGCCUAUUCCUCCUCAAAUUGGACGGUUGAAGCGUCUUAAAAUACUGUAUGAAUUUUCUAAUCCUUGUUUGAUUCUGGUUUGUUUGUCUUUAUAUUUUUUAUUUUACUUCUAUUUUGAUUUGAUGUAAUACAAGGGCAUAGGAAAAAUUUGCUUGUUAAUGAUUUGUGAAGAUUAUACUUUUUCCACUUCUUAUAUGUGAACAAUUGUUGAUCUUCUGUUCACUUUUGUUCUGUAAUUUGAAACUUGUGGUUUAUUGUUGGCCUUUAUUUCCUUCCAGCAAUUUGAGGUGGAACAAACUACAGGAUGCAAUUCCUCCAGAAAUUGGCGAGCUUAAAAGUUUAACACAUCUGUGCGUAACUUUUACUUUCCUGUUAACUUGAGGCUUGUUAGUCUUUCUUUCCCCAUUUUUUAGUUUUAUUUACAAUUAAUGUCAUAUCCUUAUGCAGGUACCUAAGCUUCAAUAGUUUCAAGGGAGUGUGUAUGCGUGGGUUGGUGAUGAUCCUUGUGGUGAUGGAGAUCUUCCUCCUUGGUCUGGUGUUACUUGUUCCACUGUCGGUGAUUAUCGUGUUGUCACUGAGCUGUGAGCUUCAUACCCCAACUUCUUCAAUUUGAUUUGUCUUUUCAUUUUCAAUCACAUUUUGUCUGGAAAUUUGAUUUUUAAGUCUAAGAUUUGUGGUCUGACAUUGGUAUUACUGGGAUUGUUAUCUUGUUGGCUGCAGUGAGGUGUAUGCGGUAUCGAUUGUGGGACCUUUCCCUACUGCUGUGACCAGCUUGUUGGAUCUUACAAGGCUGUAAGUGUCUUCCUUAAUUUAUGUUACAUUAGAUUUUGAUUCUGUAAAUAGCUUGAGAAGUAUGUGUUAUUGCCUGGUACAUAUGGUUUGUUGAAGUUUGAUGUCAGAGAGGACAAUAUGGAGAGUUAUAUGUGGAUGCUUUUAAUGUAGAUAUCCAGAAUUGCAAGGAUCUAAAUUGGUCUUCAAAUUCUAGCUUUCGUAGCGGAAUUGGAUUUCUGUCGUAUAACAGCAUAUUGAAAUAGUGAUGGACCUAUAAACUAGUUUAUGCGGUAUGAUGUAUAACUUUAUUUACUCUGAUGACUUUUUAUGUGCAUAAUUGAUCUAACACCCACACGCACACAGGAGGGUGGGGUUAAAUGGGUGUGAAUGAUAGGAAGCAUAGAGAUGACUAGAUUAGAGCAUAUAAGAUAAGCUAAGAUCUAG